CUGACAUUUGACAACUUUUCACCCUUCAUGCCCACUUCCAUAGGUCCAUCUCUCAAUUCCCCACUCCUUAUUGCUCUCUAUCCUCAAGUCUUCCUCCUUUAACACUCUGACCAACUAUCCAAGGUUUUUGACAUCACCCAUAUAUUCUUACCUCCAGCCACUUUUCUAAGCCAAAUACUCUUUUCUUCUACCAUCUUUCAUGGAAGUUCUAGCAUUUCUACUUCACUAAGUGCAUGUGCCUUCAUUUUCUCUAAGUUUCCAAUAGUCAACCCAGCAGUGUCUUAACAAUGUCUCCUAGAGUGACAAGAUAUGGAAUCCUGUAUCAUAAUGAGUGUUUCCAUAUUGUAAACUCUACCUACCAAGGUUUAUGUUCUGAGCCCUCAACCUAGCAUCUUCAGGGUAUGGUCCCAUGCUAUUCUCCUGGCUUUGGGCAGAUCCAUGUUGGCUACUUCAUACAGCUCUUUAAGGGCAUCGUCCCUUUUCUCCUUUAGUAGUUUUGGCACUUCUCUGAAAGAUUAUUUUGGGACAUAACUGUAAGUAUUGUUCUGGUAGUCAGGAUGGCAGGUAGAGAUAUUUUUUGAGCUAGAUAUGUGUUGCUUUGCAAGACAGAAGCCUCUGAACUAGCUUUAAAAAAACACAAUUAUUUGUUCUUUUUAGUUAUACAUGACAGUAGAAUGCAUUUUGAUAUGUCAUACAUACCUGGAAUAGAACUUCCCAUUUGAAUUAGCUUUGAACAAGGAGAGGCACAUCAGUGUUGAGCAAUGGGGCCAGGCCACCUGAAAAGGCCCAAAGCAUUCAGGGAAUCUCAGAAUUUGAGAUUUUAAAAUUAAUUGAUCCAAGUGUCCCCAAGUCUUCCUAAUUAAGGUCCUAAGCUACACAUAGUUAACUUGCCAUGAGCAUUCAACCUUCUCUGGAAUUCCAUUUCCCUUAUAAUUAAGUCCUGGGUCUGAUUCCUCUGCUUUAUCUCUUCUGUGACUAUACGAGGCGAUUCUUUUAUAAGUUGCUGGAGAAGUUAUCUGAUGUUCACAGUUCCUCUUACAUUGGUAAUUAAUCACCUUCACACCUUUUAUUAUAUUUCUCUGGUGCAGCAAUGGCCCCCAGCAAUAGCCAUCUGAUGCCAUGUAAUUACAACUUUCUAUAAACCUUUCAAAUGCUUGACAUAUUGCCCUCAUUACCUUCUACUGAUAUCCCAUCCCAACUUCUCCCUGGUAAAACUUUUAUAGUUCAACUUUUAUAGUUACAGCAUGCCAGGGACUAUGAAUACUCCACUUACUACCAGUGGUGAUUACUGGUUGACUGGUUAGUGAACCAGUUACCAAAUUCUAUUUAGAGCUUACUUCCUAGAACCAUUUCUGUUAGCAACUAUCAUAGAUCUAGUUCUCCAGGAAAGACUCCAAGAUGGAGAUAUCCAUGUCCAACAUCCACUGGUGAAUGGUCUGCUGGUGAAUGCUCUGGAGAACAACAUCUGUAAGGAAGUGAAGAAAGCAGGAUUGAACUGUGAUGCGACUCAAGGUAAGUUCCACUGAACCCAUUGGCAGGUUUGAGGCUGGGGCUAGGCAUUUGAUCCCCACUUUGAUUUGCUUUUGGAUAUGAGUUGC
RNAcentral lists this long non-coding RNA (1598 nucleotides) under Marmota monax (woodchuck). Lineage: Eukaryota; Metazoa; Chordata; Mammalia; Rodentia; Sciuridae. The record is from RNAcentral.